Molecule: ribosomal RNA, 497 nt
Filed under: uncultured bacterium
Lineage: Bacteria
Description: partial 16S ribosomal RNA
Rfam family: Bacterial small subunit ribosomal RNA
Source: RNAcentral
GAUGAACGCUGGCGGCGUGCCUAAUACAUGCAAGUCGAGCGAACGGACGAGAAGCUUGCUUCUCUGAUGUUAGCGGCGGACGGGUGAGUAACACGUGGAUAACCUACCUAUAAUACUGGGAUAACUUCGGGAAACCGGAGCUAAUACCGGAUGAUAUUUUGAACCGCAUGGUUCAAAAGUGAAAGACGGUCUUGCUGUCACUUAUAGAUGGAUCCGCGCUGCAUUAGCUAGUUGGUAAGGUAACGGCUUACCAAGGCAACGAUGCAUAGCCGACCUGAGAGGGUGAUCGGCCACACUGGAACUGAGACACGGUCCAGACUCCUACGGGAGGCAGCAGUAGGGAAUCUUCCGCAAUGGGCGAAAGCCUGACGGAGCAACGCCGCGUGAGUGAUGAAGGUCUUCGGAUCGUAAAACUCUGUUAUUAGGGAAGAACAUAUGUGUAAGUAACUGUGCACAUCUUGACGGUACCGAAUCAGAAAGCCACGGCUAACUACGUG